Molecule: long non-coding RNA, 7699 nt
Organism: Mus musculus (house mouse)
Lineage: Eukaryota; Metazoa; Chordata; Mammalia; Rodentia; Muridae
Product: predicted gene, 35431
Exons: 3
Source: RefSeq, a predicted model, not a curated record
CUGAGCGUAAACACAAAUAAUGAUCGUCUCUGAGAAGUCAGAUCAUCAACGGUCACUGCAGUCUGCAUUCCUCAUUUCCUUUCAAAUGCUCUGCCACAUCACUAUUGUUUUGAUGGGAAUACAAACUGCCUGUGGUCGUAAGAUGGAAAAAAUGUGACUAAUAUGUUAAUGAGCACAUGAAAAACAGGCCGCCUGCGAGCUUGAGAGCUGAACAGUGGGUGUCACAGCGAUGCGAUGUGUAGGGAUGGGACCAUCUCAGGGCAGCCACAGAGAGCUUUACAAGAAGGCCGUCUUCCCUUUGGUACUUGCAGGAGGACGGCACAGAACGGGGGAUGGAUACAGGUGGGCUGUUCCACAGCUUCUAAGAGCAGAACGCUGGACCUUACAGGCAUGUACUUCUACAACACUCGCUGUGUACAGGCUCGUCGGCUGAGACCAAGGCGAGCACAGAUGAAUGACGGUGAUUAAGAGAGGGAAAUGGAGGGGGGGGGUUUAAUUAAAAUCGCUGAAAAAAUUGUCCUAUUUGUCUUUCUAAAUACAAAUUUCAUGGAGAUAUGAAAUUGUAGCUAAGGAGUGCACUGAGUUGGUAAAGUGCCAGUCUCAGUAGUGCAACUUAGAACCCCAAUACUACAGAGGCAGAGACAGGAAGACCCCUGGGCUCCCUGGCCAGUCAGUCUAGCCUGCUGGGAGAAUCUGAGCCAAAGUGAGAAGCCCUGUAUCAUAAAUCAAAGUGGGUACAGCCUGAGGAAGGACACCCAAGGUUAUCCUCUGACCGCCAUAUGCAGGUGCACCUACACACAGGUGCACAUAAACAUGAACAUGUGUGUGCACGUGUAUGUGCAUACAGAUUAUCAAAUCUUUCAGUUUGGGAACUCAAAAGCAAUUAUUAUCCUAUUUACCAUAAAACUAUUCUAUUAGCAAAACUAUGUCAUUUUUUUUGUCAUUUACUUGAUUUGCUGACUUAGACUCUUCUUCACCCCAAAUUUCUCAAACAUGAAUAUCUUCUACACUGGAGAAUCAGGGGCCAACUCCCAGUCUUAGGAUUAUUUGCUACCUUAUCAGUCUAUGACACAAGUAGAAAUCACUCUGUUUCGUGAACAUAACUCAUUUGCUUCUGGGUUGUUGCCAUUGGUACUUCUACUGUAUCCACCUCACACUCCUCUGUUAGUUAGUGCCCUCCAUGCCUGACUGUGAGUUUUAAAGUCCUCUGAGGCGUAGUCUCUAAACAUCUUCCCCACAUUCUCUCAUCCAGGCUCAUGACUUAAACACACUGACAAUUUAUAAAGCACAUGCAGGUAUGCACACACAUAAGCCUGCAGUCUCAAUAAAGCACACAUCAUACAUGCAGGCGUGCACACACACGGGCCUGCAAUAUCAAUCUCUUGCCUAAACUUGAACCCAUAAGGAGUUUCCCACUGUGUUUUAAUUAUUACCGAAUGGUUGAUAAGCAAACCCCUAUGUACUCUUCCUCCUGAGUUAAAACACAGCUAGCAGGUAACUCCUCCCAUCUGAAUAUUCUAUUUGGAGGCUUGACAUCAUCCACAGGUCUCCGGACAUGCCUGUUAGGAAUGGAGCUGUAUGUUUUAUAUAUCCAAUGUCCAAGAAAACUCCAGGACAUAACUGCUCCCCACCACUUCCAGGUUACUGCUAGCCACUGGUCCUCGAUGACAGCUUGCCCACCAGUGCUGUCCCUACCUGUCUAUGCCCUCCAUAGUAGCCAGACAAAUUCUUAAAAAUGGGUAGGUCAGAUCACAUCCAUGCCUUCUGUUCUGACUCUCUGACACACUAUUCUCUUCAAAAAUGAAAGCCAAAGUCCUAUCAGCCAUAAAGCCUCCCAUGGCAUGCAGCCAGUAGGACAGCAUCCUCUGCUCAGGUCUCCAGAUGGGACAGAAACACUUUCUCUGAGACAACAAACAGAAGCUCCCUCAAGUAGAAAUGUCUGCCUAUCUUCUAUGUUCAACUAUGAAGAUCAAGAUAGGGGCCCGGGUAAAAUAACCUUGAGCAAUUACCAUUCCUUCCAGGAUAUAACGGGCUGUGUUCUAAGGGCCGUUCCCUCGCAUCGCUGCUGUUUUUACAAUCAGUGCACUAACAGACUAUGUGAUUUAUGGGAGAUUUCCUCCCCUUUAUUCAUUAGUAACAAUGUCGCAGAAGGAUGAGCACAAGAUUCCCUUGAAGAGAGAGGCUUGGCACAUGAUGUGUUCCAGACGGUGCUUUUCAAGCCUUCACACAAAAAUGGAAUUUUCACUGUCAAGGGCAGUGGACACCUCAGCUCUGUUGAAAGUAGAGGAAUGCACACUUGCCACUAGGCAUUCACGAGUAGAAACCGUCUCUCAAUUCCAUCAGGGCAGCCAAUGACACGCUUUCAGCCCCAGUCUCUCAUUGAGGUGCUAAGGUAUACUACUGCCUCGUUACACGCUAUUUCUUUUUUAAUAUUUUAUUUUUAAUAUGUGUAUAGGUUGUGGGGGUGUUGUGAAUGUGCACGUGGUGCCCACAGAGGCAAGAAGGCACCUUCUAGAGCUGGAAUAUCAGACUGCCAUGAGACAGCUGUGCUGGGAACCCAAUUCAAGUCCCCUCCUGACCUACUUCACCAGCCACACAUGCUUUUCAAACUAGCCAGUGCCAACCACUGAAUGCAAAUACACAAGAACAUGGUCUGUCCUAUGACAAAGCAAAGAUGUUUUCAAACCUCAUGUAGCCUUUGCCUAGCUUUCCUCUAACCCCACAGCCUCACAAAUAGGAUGAAAAGUAACUUUCUUGUCUACUUGCUUCAUGUGUUAGAGAAAGAGGGGUUCCCAAAGAUAAGAAUGUAAUAAGAAACGAGGCCUCACCAAGACCAUCAGUCUCAUCCCAAAUAUAACUGCACGAAGUAAGUAGGAUGAACUAACCACUUCUAAGUCCAAGAUCAAGACAAAAUAAUCAGAGCUCCAUUAUAAAACAGUGUGUGUGUGUGUGUGGGAGAGAGAGAGAGAGAGAGAGAGAGAGAGAGAGAGAGAGAGAGAGAGAGAGAGAGAGAGAGAGAGAGAGAGCAAGAGAGCGCUUAAACUUUGCUGUGUGGCUGGUCUUUCUUUUCCUAUCCCCCUCCCCACCGUGCGUGCGUGUGUGUGUGUGUGUGUGUGUGUGUGUGUGUGUGUGUGUGUGUGUGUUGUAGCAUACUGUGACAGUUUGAAUGGAUCCACCUGGGUAUGUUGGCAUGACUGUGUGUGUGCCUACAUCGUUAUGUGCACAUGUUGCCUUGAGUGUAUCUGUGUGUACAUGAGAAAGUAUGUGUAUGCUACACACAUUUUUACUCUGUAUGCUCUGGGGGAAUCACUUGUAUGUGCCAGCCUGAAAAGGCAAGAACUUAUUGGGAAAAGACAGAGGCCUGUGUAUGUGUGUGAAGAUUAAAGGAGCAUGUGUGUGACUCGGUCCUCAUGUAUUGGAAGAACCUAGGAGUCUUCCAAAUCUCUGACUCCUGUGUGUUGAAAGAGCUUUCUGAAAAUUAUGACAGUACACUUUUACUAAAACCUGCCUUUCCUUCUGCAUGCCUCCAAAACAUCUACUAUAAAUCAUACGUGAAGAAUGCACCACAAUGAUCUGGUAUCCAGUUCUGGACUUCAGUCAAAUGCUAAAUGUUCAUAUGCAAGCAAGAUGCUUUUUUCUCUUUCAGCUUGAAACGGCCUGCUCUAAUUAUUCUCCCUCACUAAAUGGCUCUUUAAAUAAGUAUUACAAUUGAUCACAGUAUAUUGAUUAAACAUUUCAUUUUAAAUUCAAGUUCAACUGAAGUAAUUUUUGACUAAUUAGGGCUAAAUCUCUUGAUAGUAUGAGUUGCACAUAAACAUAAAACACACUGUGAGCCGAAGUGUUUGAACAUUUAGAACGAAGUGCCAUGAAACACAGGCAUGGCAUGUAGACGGAUGUCUUGUAUUUCAGUGUGUACAGUACCCCUCAGGUCAGUUCAUUUUGUCUUGUUCUCCAGAGCUGAGUGAGAGAGACAGAUCACACUACAGCCCCUCACCAUUGAAUGCCUAAAGGAAAGGAUGGUGCUUUUAGCUAUUCUUACUUCUGAGGAAGAGCAAUUCGCUUUGGCUCAUGGUCUCCGAGAUCUCAGUUCACGGUCACUUAACUGCACAUCGCUGGGGAUCCUUUUUCCCAUUGGUUCUUAGUCCCUUUGGACUUGGGACUUAAAAGGAACCAAGAAGUUGAGCAAAGUGGAAGGUGGGCUGAUGGCUUUCUGUCUGUCGUGGUCAGCGAUGAGCUGGUGCUAUCCAGAAACCAAGGACACGCCAAAGGCAACGGCUGCAUUCAUUCUGUCCAUGCCAAUAGCAGAUGCUGGAAUCUUUAAGGGCCUUGCAUAAAGGCCCUCUUCACUCCAUCUUCUCUUCAACCACAUUAUCCUAUCUCCUAUCACCACAAGUCCUAUCAUUUUCUUGUGACCUCACUGAAGUAAGGGUAGGGCUGAUACCUCAUCUAUGUUACAUCCGCCCUAACUCCAGCUGUGUCUUUGCUGCUCUUUUUACGACUAAACCAAUUCUUAUGGGUAACCAGUUUGAAGCUCACAAAAAGACAAAGCCCAGAAGUGGAGGAAACACCAUCAGAUGUUCAGGCCUUGACAGUAAUGCUGGCUGAUAGCUCUUAUCUGCUAUAGUCUUUUCACCUGUCCUUCCUUGUACCCACCCAAAAUUGUGGAACUGUAUUGAUAUAUUAUGCCUAUAUACUUUGUACUGUUAAACUUACAUUCAUUUAUUGGAGGGCAGGUAGGUGCAUAGCAGGUACAUGCUAUGACACUUGAGUGGCGGUCAGAAGACAACUCAUGAGGGUCCUUUCUCUCCUUCUACUAGGCAGAUCCCUAGAAAUAACCUUAGGAUAUCAUGUUUAGCAGCAAGCACCUUUACCCACUGAGCUAUCUGACUGUCUCUAAUUAUUUUUAGAAGAAAGUAAUAACAAUCACUUAGCAUUAUAAAUACCUAUUGGUGCAUUUUUAUGCAGUAUAUAAUUUUGACAUGUAAUUCUAUUCUUUAAGUAUCUUCUUGAACAUCCAUAGCUGUAUUUCUAAUUUUGGUGGUCUGUUUAUUGUAAAAAGGAACUCAUGGUUUUAUAUAAGCAUGGCUGGUAGAUGCUUCAUUUUGAGGUGAAGUUUAAAUCUGGGAAAGGGGCGUUAAGAAUGGAGAAUCCAAUGAGGUCCUUAACUACCAACAUCUAGCCAGUUACUAUUCUUUCCGCAUGUCUAUUCUAAAUGCACAGUUUCCCAUUUAACCUAUUUCCCUUAAUACAAGAUGGUGAAUGGAACUUGGAGCAACUGUUUGGUUUUUUUUCCUUUUACUACCCAAGAUAUGAAUUCAAGAAAUAACUGCCAAACUUUACAGGGAAUCUUCAAGUCAUGCUACAGCUGGCCAGCAGACAAAUUCCCAACUGUCAACACAGGACACAGGAGUACAAAGGGUCUGUGUGUGUAUAUAAAAAACAGCUGCAUAUAUUAUAAUACAUACUGUGUGUGUGUGUGUGUGUGUGUGUGUGUGUGUGUGUGUGUGUGUGUGUGUAGUUAGGUACUAAUCUUUCUUCACUUUACUAGUUUGUCAAGAGGCACUUGGUCCAAGAGUGAUUAUAUAGUUACACCCUUGUUGCUGGCCUGACACACUAGUGAUCCCAAUACUAUCUUGACUGUAGUUCUCACAGGCCUACAAGGAAUACAUCUUAAUUCUUAUUAUGUUAAUUAAACUGUAUACGUCAUAAUUGAGUUUCACUAAUGUGACAAAACAGAAUGCAAGGAGGGAGUACUCCUACAGCAUCCAGAAACACACUACUAAAAUAGCUUUUAACAACUGCAUAUGCUUAAAAGUCAGUGUGGUGUGUCGUUGCAUUGCAUACUAAGUCUCUUCUUUUUUAAAAAAGGAAGAAGUUCAUUAUGUUCCUUUUUUGAGGAGACAUGGUCCCCUCCAAAGGAGCCUUAAAGAAUUCUUAUUAUUUAAGCAAUUUAAAAUCUUGGCUUUCCAUGAAAGAAAGUAAUUUCCUACAUAAUAGAUUCCUAAAAUGAAUACUAUACUGAAAUAAUAAAUUAAAUAAAGUUCCACUGAGCACAGUGGUUUACCCAGGGCAAUGGGAAACAGUGGGCAAACACUGGCUUUGUCCCCUUUUGCAGCUUUCAUUUUCAAAUAAGAUGUUCUCUGUCCCUGUUAAUGAUGUGUCUUUCUAAUAUGAGAUUCUUCUGCUGUUUCGAGUCCUUAAAUUAAGGCCAUAUAGAAUAUCACUUCCCUAGCAACCAGUUUUUUACAGGGAGCCACAGACCUAUGCAACCAACUUAUUUUGGUAAAGUACUUAAAUGUUGAAAAUUUCAUAAGAUAAUAAUGAUUAAAAAUGAUAAAAAAUAUUUUCUGAUUCAGUACAGCCCUGAUUGUAGCACUUACACAGGCCAAGGUGUCCAGUCAAUAUAGCAGAGCCUUUACAUGCACAGAAGGUGUCAGAAAGACCACUGCAGCCUGAAUGUCAUCGCCACACACAAACCCUAAGAAAAGGCCUCCCCUUGCCUUCUAAUUUUAACCUACAACUCCCGUUAUCAUGUAGUUCCCAUCUAGGAAUAAACAUAGGAAAUAUAGUGAACCCAGAUGUCGCUCCUUGAGUGAGAGGAGAAAGAUGCCAGGUCAGUAAAAACUUAAUCAUUGCACAGUUUUCCACUCAAGAAUUAUUCUUUUGCACACGUGCACACACACACACACACACACACACACACACACACACACAGCACAUUAAAAACAGAAUUCUGGGCUUAUAAAAAUAAGCACAAUAUCAGUCCUGGGCUCUUUGUAAAAAUUUCUAAAAAUGGGGCUUUGAAGACAUGAGACUUCUUUUUAAUUAUAUAACUUGGGAUGAUGUAAGGGAGAGGGGGAAAGCUGGUUUCAGCCCAGUUUUGAAAAACAUUCUUCUUAGAUGGCUUCUGUCGUCUUCCGGGGGCUUGGGAAGUAGUAGUGCUCAGGCACUCGGAUUCAUAGAGAACCAAAAGGCAGCUUCGUGCCAGCUAAAGAAAAGUUGCAGCUGACUAGCCCCACUGUGGUGAAAGAGAGCAAGUGAGGGGAGGAGGAGACCGGCUGUUCUGUGGGAUCCUGUCUGCACCAAUCCGAUCCCAUCACCACAGAAUACGGCAUCAAACCGUGACGCUUCAUGACGGCGAAACUCAGACAGGGACAUCUUCAUUACAGACACGGAUAAAGUUGCUUGCUAAGGCUAGGUAACCAGAGACUCUGGCUGUUCAGCUACCCUGUCACCAAGGCCGCCUGCACGCCAACCUGCUGAACUCAGGUGCUGUAUCCAGCCCGAGGCUUUUAGAAAAACUUUGCAGGAUUCUAAUCACCUCUGAGGCAACAGCUUCAUUUGUUACCAGAGGGAGAAUGACAUCCUACCCCAGGAAGUGAAGCUAGCGCACACGAUGGCUUACAAUGAAGGGACUCUUCUGAAGACCAAUCAGUGACCAGGAGGUAUUUGCAGUCACUGGACAUUGAAUGGACUCGAAUGGCCUUGUAUUGUAAUACGAUCGGAUUAUGUCUAGUCCAAAUGCUGUCUGUCCUCUGCAGGGCAGACAAAUCCUAAUCCCCCGCUUACGGAGACAGAGCCAGCCCAGCCCCCAGAAGCUAUCAAUUCUCUCUUUCCAGUUGUUUUCUAAGUGACAGAAAACAAACUGUACACUCAUCCUUUCCUGAAUUCAGACGAAGAAUAAAUAUUGGAUCCUCUU